UUGAUCCUGGCUCAGAAUCAACGCUGGCGGCGUGCCUCAGACAUGCAAGUCGAACGAUUAAACUUUCCUUCGGGAAAGAUAUAAAGUGGCGCACGGGUGUGUAACACGUAAGUAAUCUGCCUUCGAGUGGGGAAUACCUUCGGGAAACCUAAGAUAAUACCGCAUAAUGCAGCGGCACCGCAAGGUGACAGUUGUUAAAUGAGCAAUCCGCUUGAAGAGGAGCUUGCGGCAGAUUAGCUAGUUGGUAAGUUAACGGCUUACCAAGGCUACGAUCUGUAUCCGGUCUAAGAGGACGGUCGUACACACUGACACUGAAUAACGGGUCAGACUCCUACGGGAGGCAGCAGUCUGGAAUUUUGGGCAAUGGGCGAAAGCCUGACCCAGCAACGCCGCGUGAAGUAUGAAGUAUUUCGGUAUGUAAACUUCGAAAGAAUGGGAAGAAUAAAUGAUGGUACCAUUUAUAAGGUCCGGCUAACUACGUGCCAGCAGCCGCGGUAAUUAGGU
Molecule: ribosomal RNA, 504 nt
Filed under: uncultured Acidobacteriota bacterium
Lineage: Bacteria; Pseudomonadati; Acidobacteriota
Description: bacterial SSU rRNA
Rfam family: Bacterial small subunit ribosomal RNA
Source: RNAcentral